RNAcentral lists this unclassified non-coding RNA (2185 nucleotides) under Zea mays. RNAcentral describes it as "misc RNA Zm00001eb090770". Lineage: Eukaryota; Viridiplantae; Streptophyta; Magnoliopsida; Poales; Poaceae. The record is from RNAcentral.
CAUCAAUUGAGAAGUGUGUGCGCCACUAGGGAUUGCCGAACAGGUCCACGAAGCUAGCAGAUAUAAAGGGAGAAAGAGAAAUCCGCCAACGUCGUGUUCUUGAUACGUAUGUUGUUGUCCAAUAGGAUGGCCGAGGGAAUUAGCUAGGGUGAGCGGAACGUGUUUGUGACGAUUGCGAGUGCAAAGAUUGACCAAAAGGCCAGUUAGUCGUUGUUCACUGGAGUAUGGGCACCACAGUAGAGCGAGCCGGGCGUCGUGGCUAGCCUUGCCGCUAGCUUCACUGUCGGUAGCUGCAACAUUCAAAAUUGGGAACAGCAAAGGCAUACCUGAUAUCCCGGAUAAUCUUUCUUCUGAGGCAAAAAGCUUUCUGAAACUCUGUUUGCAGCGUGAUCCUGCAGCCCGCCCUAUAGCUGCUCAGCUGAUGGAUCGCCCUUUUGUAAAAGACCAUGCUACAGUCAGGAGUUCUAGGUCUGGCAUCACAAGGGGUAUGUUUCCUACUUCAACUGGUGGGAAAAAUAGCAUGAUUGCAACUUCAUCAUACAAAAGCGUAUCUCCUUUAAGAGAUCCUGAUAUCGUGAUAAGAAACUUGCCAGGGCCAACAUCCCCCAUUCCUUCGACAUCAAAUUACAGGAUCACAGCAUUGUAUGUUCUCCUUUUGUCAGACUUAUUGCAAUUUACAUGUUGUGAAUUGUGUCUCAGCUGAUUUUUUUUCGUCCAGGAACCCAUCCAAUGUUCGGAUGAACAUGUCCCUGCUUGUCUCUCCCUGGUCUAGCCCGCUUUGGUAGUACAGGCAGUCCAACUGAAGUUGAUUGUCAUCCCCUCCACAGUCCACACCCAGCCUAUUCAGCUGGACCAGCCAACUACAGUCCUAUCAACAAUGCACGGUACCCGAUGCGAAGCAGUGGUCUCACAGAUCCAUCGCUCUAAAUCUCUCAGCUGAAAACACAAACUUUUGAUUCUCCAAGAAGAUUGUAGAGAUUCCAAAAAGAAGUAAUACUUUGUAUACAGGCAGGGAAAAAGUGUGCAUAAUUUAUGCUGUUAGAGGAACAAAGGAACACCCUUUUUUCUGUUUUGCACCUUCUGUAUGUAUUUUUCACCCAGGAUGCAGUUGCAUCGCCUUUGCACAAAUUCAGAGAAGCGCUAGUGAAAAGAGUAGCAUUUCAGUUCAGAUCGCACCUCUUAUAUGUUUUGUCUAUAUGGCUAGAUUUUGCACAAAGAUAUGUUGGAGAAAGGAGAUUUCAUGGUAACUGAAUCUGAUGCAUAUGGAACACGUCUCCUCUGUAUGUCAGAGUCUUCUCCUCAACACCGAAACUCCAGAGAUGACCUUGCAACUCCAACACACCCUUUGCAUCUUCAUUCUUCUUCUUGCCCACAACAUCUUUACCAUUGUGAUUGGCGGCAUGACAGUCAGUAUUCGCGGCCUCCCAAACAAACCGGAAGAUUUGGAGGGCACGGCUCAGUUGCUUGAUGCCGCUCCUGAUCGUCGAUUCAUCGCCAUCGAUCAGGAAUUCUGCGGCGUGAACGGUAACAUUCCUGCCUCCCUCGCCAGAAAUGCAUUUGCCGACGUGCACCUCCAUGUCCCGGACGGAGCCAUAGAGGUAGAAGAGGAGCAGCGUGUACAGGCACCUGGAGGAGUGCCCCAGGCUCUUGGACAGCUUCCUCUGCACCAGGCAGUCCUGCCGGCGCGCCUCCUUGAAGGCUAUGUCCCGUUCAAUGACGACGUCACGUAUCUGGUACAACCCCUCCUUCAUGGCCUCCACCUUCUGCACAUGCCCGGUGAGUCGAUCCUCCAUCUCCAGGCUCCUGGCGAGGACGGCGAUGAGGACGUCGCCGUGUCCGACAGGAAGCCGUUGCAAGCGGAGGCGAUCUGCUCGGCCAUCUUGAUCCCUGGGCUCGGGCUAUCCAGAGACGCCAUGUCGGCCUGGAGAUCCCCGAGCACCGCCUCGAGCGCGCCCCGCCAGACGUGGUGCUGCGUCACCUGCGGGCAGACGUUGAGCCGCACGCUCUUCCUCCGCUGGGCUGAUACGCCGAGCACGUCGCAGACCUGCGUCAGCGAUCUCAGCGACGUCACCUCCAUCUUCAGCGGCGGGUGGCCGCGGCUCACGGUGGCCACGGCGGCGACGAACUCACCCGCGAGCGCGUCAAAGUGCGCGGCCCGGGUGGCGGCGUGCGGGCAUGCGACGAG